RNAcentral lists this ribosomal RNA (525 nucleotides) under uncultured bacterium. RNAcentral describes it as "partial 16S ribosomal RNA". It matches the Rfam family "Bacterial small subunit ribosomal RNA", at positions 355 to 874 of the family's 1533-position model. The record is from RNAcentral.
UGGGGAAUUUUGGACAAUGGGCGAAAGCCUGAUCCAGCAAUGCCGCGUGUGUGAAGAAGGCCUUCGGGUUGUAAAGCACUUUUGUCCGGAAAGAAAUCCUUGGCUCUAAUACAGUCGGGGGAUGACGGUACCGGAAGAAUAAGCACCGGCUAACUACGUGCCAGCAGCCGCGGUAAUACGUAGGGUGCAAGCGUUAAUCGGAAUUACUGGCGUAAAGCGUGCGCAGGCGGUUUGCUAAGACCGAUGUGAAAUCCCCGGGCUCAACCUGGGAACUGCAUUGGUGACUGGCAGGCUAGAGUAUGGCAGAGGGGGGUAGAAUUCCACGUGUAGCAGUGAAAUGCGUAGAGAUGUGGAGGAAUACCGAUGGCGAAGGCAGCCCCCUGGGCCAAUACUGACGCUCAUGCACGAAAGCGUGGGGAGCAAACAGGAUUAGAUACCCUGGUAGUCCACGCCCUAAACGAUGUCAACUAGUUGUUGGGGAUUCAUUUCCUUAGUAACGUAGCUAACGCGUGAAGUUGACCGCCU